UCCGUAGGUGAACCUGCGGAGGGAUCAUUACAAGUGACCCCGGUCUAACCACCGGGAUGUUCAUAACCCUUUGUUGUCCGACUCUGUUGCCUCCGGGGCGACCCUGCCUUCGGGCGGGGGCUCCGGGUGGACACUUCAAACUCUUGCGUAACUUUGCAGUCUGAGUAAACUUAAUUAAUAAAUUAAAACUUUUAACAACGGAUCUCUUGGUUCUGGCAUCGAUGAAGAACGCAGCGAAAUGCGAUAAGUAAUGUGAAUUGCAGAAUUCAGUGAAUCAUCGAAUCUUUGAACGCACAUUGCGCCCCCUGGUAUUCCGGGGGGCAUGCCUGUUCGAGCGUCAUUUCACCACUCAAGCCUCGCUUGGUAUUGGGCAACGCGGUCCGCCGCGUGCCUCAAAUCGACCGGCUGGGUCUUCUGUCCCCUAAGCGUUGUGGAAACUAUUCGCUAAAGGGUGCUCGGGAGGCUACGCCGUAAAACAAACCCAUUUCUAAGGUUGACCUCGGAUCAGGUAGGGAUACCCGCUGAACUUAAGCAUAUCAAUAAGCGGAGGAAAAGAAACCAACAGGGAUUGCCUCAGUAACG
RNAcentral lists this ribosomal RNA (582 nucleotides) under uncultured fungus. RNAcentral's name for it is "eukaryotic LSU rRNA". The stretch from base 187 to 340 matches the Rfam family "5.8S ribosomal RNA". Lineage: Eukaryota; Fungi. The record is from RNAcentral.